GUAUUAAUUGCGUGUGAUCGCAAAAGAAAAACAUUCUACACUGUAUCGAGUUUGUGUGAAAACGUGAGCCCCCGAAAGGGGACCCACGCGGUGGUGCACAUAGGGGUGAGAUGGAUGUUUGAGAACGCUCGGGCGUGCACGACGAAAAGUCAGCGACAGCCCUUGCACCUCAGUUUUACAAUAAUGAUCCUUCCGCAGGUUCACCUACGGAAA
Molecule: unclassified non-coding RNA, 213 nt
Filed under: uncultured fungus
Lineage: Eukaryota; Fungi
Description: sequence contains ITS1
Source: RNAcentral